This 407-nucleotide ribosomal RNA is filed under the name uncultured bacterium. Its description in RNAcentral is "partial 16S ribosomal RNA". It matches the Rfam family "Bacterial small subunit ribosomal RNA", at positions 30 to 526 of the family's 1533-position model. The record is from RNAcentral.
AUUGAACGCUGGCGGCAGGCCUAACACAUGCAAGUCGAGCGGAGCGGCGGAGGGGUGAGUAAUGCCAAUGAAUCUGCCUGGUAGUGGGGGAUAACGUCCGGAAACGGGCGCUAAUACCGCAUACUAGCAGAUGAGCCUAGGCCGGAUUAGCAAGUGGGUGGGGUAAAGGCCUACCAAGGCGACGAUCCGGAACUGGUCUGAGAGGAUGAUCAGUCACACUGGAACUGAGACACGGUCCAGACUCCUACGGGAGGCAGCAGUGGGGAAUAUUGGACAAUGGGCGAAAGCCUGAUCCAGCCAUGCCGCGUGUGUGAAGAAGGUCUUAGGAUUGUAAAGCACUUUAAGUUGGGAGGCGUUACCAACAGAAUAAGCACCGGCUAACUUCGUGCCAGCAGCCGCGGUAAUUC